UACAGAGGGGGCAAGCGUUAUUCGGAAUUAUUGGGCGUAAAGGGCGCGUAGGCGGCCUGGCAAGUGGAUGGUGAAAUCCCUCGGCUUAACCGAGGAACUGCCAUCCAGACUGCUUGGCUUGAGACCGGGAGAGGUGAGUGGAAUUCCUGGUGUAGCGGUGAAAUGCGCAGAUAUCAGGAGGAACACCAAUGGCGAAGGCAGCUCGCUGGGACGGUACUGACGCUGAGACGCGAAAGCGUGGGGAGCAAACAGG
This 253-nucleotide ribosomal RNA is filed under the name uncultured bacterium. RNAcentral describes it as "partial 16S ribosomal RNA". It matches the Rfam family "Bacterial small subunit ribosomal RNA", at positions 524 to 776 of the family's 1533-position model. The record is from RNAcentral.